Molecule: ribosomal RNA, 637 nt
Filed under: cf. Calodorylaimus sp. MN32-07
Lineage: Eukaryota; Metazoa; Nematoda; Enoplea; Dorylaimida; Dorylaimidae
Description: SSU rRNA
Rfam family: Eukaryotic small subunit ribosomal RNA
Source: RNAcentral
GGCGAUCAGAUACCGCCCUAGUUCUAACCGUAAACGAUGACAACCAGCGAUUAAUCGGCGUUAAUUAUAUGACCCGAUUAGCAGCUUCCGGGAAACCAAAGUUUUUCGUUUCCGGGGGAAGUAUGGUUGCAAAGCUGAAACUUAAAGGAAUUGACGGAAGGGCACCACCAGGAGUGGAGCCUGCGGCUUAAUUUGACUCAACACGGGAAAACUCACCCGGCCCGGACACCGUAAGGAUUGACAGACUGAGAGCUCUUUCUUAAUUCGGUGGGUGGUGGUGCAUGGCCGUUCUUAGUUGGUGGAGCGAUUUGUCUGGUUAAUUCCGAUAACGAACGAGACUCUGGCCUAUUAAAUAGACGAUAUAUUUAAAAGUAUAUCGCGCUUCUUAGAGGGACAAGCGGCGUCUAGCCGCAUGAAAUAGAGCAAUAACAGGUCUGUGAUGCCCUUAGAUGUCCGGGGCUGCACGCGCGCUACACUGAAAGAAUCAGAGUGCGUUAUACCUAGUUCGGAAGAACCGGGUAACCCAAGUAAAUUCUUUCGUGCUUGGGAUAGGGAAUUGCAAUUAUUUCCCUUGAACGAGGAAUUCCCAGUAAAUGCGGGUCAUAAGCUCGCGUUGAUUACGUCCCUGCCCUUUGUA